RNA transcript from Zalophus californianus (California sea lion), 1015 nucleotides. It is a transcript of the gene named peroxiredoxin-1-like, with no coding region annotated. The transcript has 2 exons. NCBI's taxonomy places the organism in Eukaryota, Metazoa, Chordata, Mammalia, Carnivora, Otariidae. The record is from RefSeq and is a predicted model, not a curated record.
CUGGGGAUUGGUGAACUCAGCUUGGAAUCUUUGCUCUGUGGGGAAACGGCAGUCACCGGUCAACAUAGAGACCAGUCACAUGAUCUUCGACCCCUUUCUGACGCCCCUUCGCAUCAACACUGGGGGCAGGAAGAGCUGCUGAUAGCAAGAUGUCUUCAGGAAAUGCCAAAAUUGGGCAUCCUGCCCCCAACUUCAAAGCCAGGGCUAUUAUGCCAGACCUCCAAUUCAAAGGCCUCAGCCUACUGACUACAAAGGAAAAUACAUUGUAUUCUUCUUUUACCCUCUUGACUUCACUUCUGUGUGCCCCACAGAGAUCAUUGCUUUCAGUGACAGGGCAGAAGAAUUUAAGAAACUCAACUGUCAAGUGAUUGGUGCUUCUGUGGAUUCUCAUUUCUGUCACCUGGCAUGGAUCAACACACCCAAGAAACAAGGAGGACUGGGACCCAUGAACAUUCCCUUGGUAUCAGACCCCAAGCGUACCAUUGCUCAGGACUAUGGAGUCUUAAAGGCUGAUGAAAGCAUCUCGUUCAGGGGCCUCUUUAUCAUUGAUGAUAACAGUAUCCUUAGGCAGAUCACGGUAAAUGACCUUCCUGUCGGCUGCUCUGUGGAUGAGACUCUGCGAAUGGUUCAGGCCUUCCAGUUUACUGACAAGCAUGGGGAAGUGUGCCCAGCUGGCUGGAAGCCUGGCAGUGAUACCAUCAAGCCUGAUGUCCAGAAGAGCAAAGAAUAUUUCUCUAAGCAGAAGUGAGCGCCAGGUCAUUUUAGGGCUGGGCUGCAGUGGGUGGCCAUGAAAACAAAAUCUCUUUUGUACUAUUGUCAUGCUUAGAACGUAAGACAUUAGACUCUGUGCAGAUGUGGUAUGGGGACAGGACAGGGCUUUCCUGCAGGGGUUGGGGAGGCCAGCCUUUCUUCCUCUGGAGAGAAGGGCCUGAGCUGUUAUGGGGCAGGCCACCUGUUAUGUACAGUAGCAGGGCAUUGCUUUUUGUCUUUUGUUGUUUCUAUUAAACUUGAACUG